AGGAGGCAGAGCUUGCAGUGAGCUGAGAUCUGGCCAGUGCACUCCAGCUUGGGUGACAGAGCAAGACUCCGUCUCAAAAAAAAAAAAAAUAGAAGAUCUUGGGAAUGUGUUUUUCUUUCCUAGGCCUCACUUUGUCAGUGGGAUUUAUAGGAUAGGCCUGUCACUACCAAGGUGACACAAAUUCUAGAGAAUGUAUUUUCCCAUUUCUUCAAAUUUCCUUUCCUCUCUUUGUAUUGAUACUUAAAAUACCUUUACUAAAAAAAUCAAGUGUUCCAUUUCCAUUGCCUUGUAUUUACAUGAAGAUAAAAAUAUUUGCUAAGUCAUUGUAUUUGUCCAUUCUGGCAGUGCUAUAAAGACAUACCUGAGACUGGGUCAUUUACGAAGAAAAGAGGUUUAACGGACUCGUGGUUCUAUGGGCUGUACAGGCUUCUGUUUUGGGGGAGGCCUCAGGAAACUUAAAAUCACAGCAGAAAGCAAAGGGAAAGCAAGCCCGUCUUACGUGGCAGGAGCAAGAGGAAAAGAACAAAGCGGGAGGGAUUACACACUUUUGUUUCUUUUUUUUUUUUUUUUUUUUAAGAUGGAGUCUCCCUGUCACCCAGGCUGGAGUGCAGUGUUGUGAUCUCAGCUCACUGCAACCUCUGCCUCCCAAGUUCAAGCGAUUCUCCUGCCUCAGCCUCCAUAAGGGAGCUUUGAAAAGAAAACGGAGACUUGUAUCCGACUUGGCUAGAAGCAAAAUAAUUUGAUCAUUGGAGCCACCAUUUCUAUGUAUUUGAUCAAGUCCUCCUCAGGAAUCCAAUACAGCUGUAUUCAUAUUUCACUCUCUCUUCAUGGACCUUGCUGGAAAGAACAUUCUGUGCUAAGAAAAUGGAAAAUAAAUGCGAGAAAACUUUAAGAGUGAGCCUUCACGUCUCCUGCAGCAGGUGAUAUCUCUGUACUUCAGAGCUUGUCUCCAGGUUGAGAAUUACCUGUUUUCCACUCUGAGGAGAUUAGAAAGAUAAUUUUUUAAUGGGUUAUAAAACUUGUGUGAAGAAGAUUGACCUCCACCUCUCCUGUGAAAUAAAUUGUUUGAAAACUCUUUGAGGAGAAA
Long non-coding RNA from Rhinopithecus roxellana (golden snub-nosed monkey), 1087 nucleotides. RefSeq lists it as uncharacterized. The record is from RefSeq and is a predicted model, not a curated record. The transcript is spliced from 2 exons. NCBI's taxonomy places the organism in Eukaryota, Metazoa, Chordata, Mammalia, Primates, Cercopithecidae.